GAUUAGUCAGGCAACUCAUUUAUGGAGAUCCUUAGUCACCAUCUAGUGACUAAUUUCCUUUCAAGUCUAGAAUACUGGAUUUUCUGUCCCGUGCAUUCCCAGUUCUCAACUGCGAGGAACUACCAAGUGAGAAUGUCCAUGAGUUCCAGUUCUGCUCCAUCCUUCUUUACCUCCUUGGGGGAAAGGUUGUGGGGAACCAUGAGCCGAUACACGGGCUGAGUAGCAGUGAGUCGGAAGAACUCCUUGCCAGCAGACUCCUCAAAGUCACUUCGGUCAAAGUACAGUUCUCGGGUUAGAGGCAUUUUUCGCGACCGCUCGUCAUUCUUGCUUGCCAAAGAGCUAACUUCUCGAAGUGGUCCUCAGGCAGGAUCUCAACUGGUAUUAGUGGAUUCAUUACACUCUUCACAAUACAAAGAUGAAGUUCGUUAAGCAAAUUGGUAUCAUCUGGCGUUUGGGGGCGUAGUGGAGAUGGGCCUAUCUGAACAUACAGACUGCUGUUCGAUACAAAUGCUACAAUGUUGUAAUUGAGAGUGUAACUGGUGCAGUAGUGCGAUUAACGGUAUCGUACAGCAUGUACAUACAGUAAUCAUCAUAAGAUGCUCUAGACACUACGACCCCCAUCUUACCGUGCUGUGGGAAACCCGCCCCACUACGACUAAUGGUUACCAGAAGAGUUCUGUGUAUUGUUUAUAGUACCUUGAAGAU
RNAcentral lists this unclassified non-coding RNA (705 nucleotides) under Yarrowia lipolytica. The record is from RNAcentral. Lineage: Eukaryota; Fungi; Ascomycota; Dipodascomycetes; Dipodascales.